Non-coding RNA from Stegodyphus mimosarum, 46 nucleotides. Lineage: Eukaryota; Metazoa; Arthropoda; Arachnida; Araneae; Eresidae. The record is from Rfam.
UCUAAGGCUCUCCUCAGAGCUAUCAAAAUAAUAGAAUGCAUAUAUU